GAGGGGAAAAAAAUAAGAUUAACCUCAGUUUACUGCUCUAAAGUUUUGUGGUUUUCAACAUUUAAUACAUGAAGUUUUUUUCAUCCCAGAGUCAUACCUUAAGUCUUAAUUUUGAGAUAGUAUCAUACAUCCGUUAACCUGGCUAUUAAGUCAGCUAUUAACUGGUAACUUAAUAGCUAUCUGUAAGUUUUAUACAAAAGUACCUUUUUUUUAAGAAAAUAGGAAAAAUAAAUAUCCGGACAGCUGUAAGUUUUAUACAAAAGUACCUUUUUUUUUUUUUGACAAAAGUAUUUUGGUAGCUUAAUUGGCGGGAGGGGGGAGAAAGAAAAAAAAAUAGUUAAUCUCAGUUUACUACUCUAAAAUUUUGUGGUUUUCAACAUUUGGUACAUGAAGUAUUUUCAUCCCAGAGUCAUACCUGAAGUCUUAAUUUUGGGACAGUAUCAUACAUCAUUUAACCUGGCUAUUAAGUCAGCUGUUAACUGGUGACGUGGCACCCACAUGGAUAAUGACAUGGUGUCAUGUGUCAAUAUGGACCCACAUAAAUAUUAAAAAAUUAAAAUUAAAAAAACUAAACAAAUAAAAAUUGGCCUA
RNAcentral lists this long non-coding RNA (591 nucleotides) under Malus domestica (apple). RNAcentral's name for it is "long non-coding RNA (MDOM_LNC008207)". The record is from RNAcentral. Lineage: Eukaryota; Viridiplantae; Streptophyta; Magnoliopsida; Rosales; Rosaceae.